This 211-nucleotide unclassified non-coding RNA is filed under the name plant metagenome. RNAcentral's name for it is "partial contains small subunit ribosomal RNA, internal transcribed spacer 1, and 5.8S ribosomal RNA". The record is from RNAcentral.
UUUCCGUAGGUGAACCUGCGGAAGGAUCAUUCAUAAUAAAGUGUCUUAUGGCACUUUUUAAAAAUCCAUAUCCACCUUGUGUGCAAUGUUAGAUCUCGUCAAUCUUGGCGAGAUUUUUAUACAUCAACUCAUCCUUUAACUAAUUUGUCUGAAAAAUAUUAUGAAUACUUAAUUCAAAAUACAACUUUCAACAACGGAUCUCUUGGCUCUC